GACGAACGCUGGCGGCGUGCCUAAUACAUGCAAGUAGAACGCUGAAGAGAGGAGCUUGCUCUUCUUGGAUGAGUUGCGAACGGGUGAGUAACGCGUAGGUAACCUGCCUUGUAGCGGGGGAUAACUAUUGGAAACGAUAGCUAAUACCGCAUAACAAUGGAUGACACAUGUCAUUUAUUUGAAAGGGGCAAUUGCUCCACUACAAGAUGGACCUGCGUUGUAUUAGCUAGUAGGUGAGGUAAUGGCUCACCUAGGCGACGAUACAUAGCCGACCUGAGAGGGUGAUCGGCCACACUGGGACUGAGACACGGCCCAGACUCCUACGGGAGGCAGCAGUAGGGAAUCUUCGGCAAUGGGGGCAACCCUGACCGAGCAACGCCGCGUGAGUGAAGAAGGUUUUCGGAUCGUAAAGCUCUGUUGUAAGUCAAGAACGGGUGUGAGAGUGGAAGGUUCACACUGUGACGGUAGCUUACCAGAAAGGGACGGCUAACUACGUG
RNAcentral lists this ribosomal RNA (497 nucleotides) under uncultured bacterium. RNAcentral's name for it is "partial 16S ribosomal RNA". It matches the Rfam family "Bacterial small subunit ribosomal RNA", at positions 28 to 507 of the family's 1533-position model. The record is from RNAcentral.